This 1971-nucleotide ribosomal RNA is filed under the name human gut metagenome. RNAcentral describes it as "bacterial LSU rRNA". It matches the Rfam family "Bacterial large subunit ribosomal RNA", at positions 1 to 1980 of the family's 2925-position model. The record is from RNAcentral.
AUAAGCUACAAAGAGCGUAGGGAGGAUGCCUUGGUAUAUGGCGCCGAAGAAGGACGUGACAAGCUGCGAAAAGCCGUGACGAGUUGCACAUAAACGAUAACAAUCACGGAUGUCCGAAUGAGGGAACUCAUCGCGAGUAAUAUUGCGAUACGAUAUAAUGAAUCAAUAGUUAUAUCGGGGGAACCCGGGGAACUGAAACAUCUAAUUACCCGGAGGAAAAGAAAGUAAAAACGAUUCCGAAAGUAGUGGCGAGCGAAAUCGGAGAAGCCCAAACGACAUAUAGAAAUAUGUGUCGGGUAAGGACUUGCGGAAAACGAAAGGAAGACUUAGUCGAAGAGAUCUGGAAAGGUCAGACGAAGAGGGUAAAAUCCCCGUAGACGAAAAGUCGGUCCAACGCGAGCAAGAAUCCGGAGUACGUCGGGACACGAGGAAUCCUGACGGAAGGAAGGAGGACCAUCUCCUAAGGCUAAAUACGACCAUAUGACCGAUAGAGUAUAGUACCGUGAGGGAAAGGUGAAAAGAACCCCGGGAGGGGAGUGAAAAAGAACCUGAAACCCUAUGCUUACGAGCAGACAUAGCACUAUUAAAAGUGUGGUGUCGUACUUUUUGUAGAACGGGCCGGCGAGUUACGACGUUAUGCGAGGUUAAGAUGUAAAGCAUCGGAGCCGAAGCGAAAGCGAGUUUGAAUAGAGCGUAGAGUAUUACGUCGUAGACCCGAAACCGGAUGACCUAACCAUGAGCAGGUUGAAGCAGCGGUAAAACGCUGUGGAGGACCGAACGCACGCCUGUUGAAAUAGUCGGCGAUGACUUGUGGUUAGCGGAGAAAUUCCAAUCGAAUCCGGAUAUAGCUGGUUCUCCUCGAAAUAGCUUUAGGGCUAGCCUGUAGCAAGAAUACCGAAGGUAGAGCACUGUAUGGUCUAGGGGGUUUCACGACCUACCGAAACUUAACAAACUUCGAAUGACGGAUAUUUGCUGCUAUGGAGUCAGACAGCGACAGAUAAGUGCCGUUGUCAAAAGGGAAACAGCCCAGAUCCGCAACUAAGGUCCCCAAGUACAGGUUAAGUGGAAAACGAUGUGUCAUUGCAUAAACAACCAGGACGUUGGCUUAGAAGCAGCCACACGUUCAAAGAGUGCGUAAUAGCUCACUGGUCGAGUGAUGGUGCGCGGAAGAUUCACGGGGCUAAAACCUGACACCGAAGUUCGGGAAUACGUUUAGACGUAUUGGUAGAGGAGCAAUCUAUACGGGCAGAAGCGAUACCGAAAGGAGUCGUGGACUGUAUAGAAGAGAGAAUGCCGGCAUAAGUAGCGAGAGAGAGGCGAGAAACCUCUCCGUCGAGAGUCUGAGGUUUCCCGGGGAAGGUUCGUCCGCCCGGGGUAAGUCGGGACCUAAGUCGAGGUCGAAAGGCGUAGAUGAUGGACAACCGGUAGAAAUUCCGGUACUGCCGAAGAUCGACUAAAUGAAGCGAUGACACAGAAGGAUAGUCAAACCGUGCGGAUGGAAAAGCGCGGCCAAGGCGAGGAACGGGCAUAGAGUGAAGUACCUAUGUAGGAAGUUUUGCGCUGAUGGGGAAGUGAAGAAAAGUAAAUAAGUUGACGAAUCCACGCUGGCGAGAAAAGUCGCUAAAUAAGGUCGGAGGCACCCGUACCGCAAACCGACACAGGUAGACGCGAAGAAAAUUCAUAGACGAACGGGAGAACCCUUGUUAAGGAACUCGGCAAAAUGACCCCGUAACUUCGGGAGAAGGGGAGCCACUGUCACAGGUGGUCGCAGUGAAGAGGUCCAAGCAACUGUUUAGCAAAAACACAGGUCUCUGCGAAAUCGAAAGAUGACGUAUAGGGGCUGACGCCUGCCCAGUGCCGGAAGGUUAAGGGGAGAUGUUAGGAGCAAUCCGAAGCGUUGAACUUAAGCCCCGGUGAACGGCGGCCGUAACUAUAACGGUCCUAAGGUAGCGAAAUUCCUUGUCGGGUAAG